Molecule: small RNA, 97 nt
Filed under: Epilithonimonas zeae
Lineage: Bacteria; Pseudomonadati; Bacteroidota; Flavobacteriia; Flavobacteriales; Weeksellaceae
Description: Chryseobacterium zeae Flavo-1 RNA
Rfam family: Flavo-1 RNA
Source: RNAcentral
GCCCGACUUGAGCGGAAAUCCUUUUUUGCGUGUCAUCAAGUUCAACUUAACCGAAAUCGUCUGCAAAAAAGAUUGGGAGCGGAAGGCGGAAAAAGCU